UGAGAUCAGCUGCUUCGGUGUUGUCAGAGUCAGCCAGAGGUGAGUGGAACUAAAACUUAAUCUUUUAAAUUAAAUGCUUUGUCAUGUUUCAUACAUCAUGAUUAUGCAAUAGGAUGAUUGCAUUAGUUUUCACGAAUAUGCCGCAUUGCAUAAUUUAUUGUUGUUGCGGGUGAAUGUCGGAUGACCCAGUUAGUCCAUGACAGGAAGACCAGGCCCCAUGCUACAGGCCUGGCACAGAGUAAGAAAGACCAGGCCCCAGUCUACAGGCCUGGCACAGAGUAAGGAAAGACCAGGAUCCCAUCCUAUGGUCUAGCACGGCUAUGGGAUUUGAAGACCAGGAGCCAGAGGAGGCCCUGGGAAAAUGGUAAGUAAUAUAUGUUCUGACAGGAAAGACCAGGACCCCAUUCUACAGGCCUGGCACAGAGUUAAUUUGGACUAAUUGGUGACGAGUUCACCCAACCCUUAUGUGAAUUGUUUGUGUUAUGAUGCAUUUCAUUAAAGCAUAGUGUUAAAAUGUUUUAUAGUUCAGCUCACUGGGCUUUUAGCUCACCCCUCUCCCUUUACCCCCAGGCUUGCAGGUACAGUAUAGUGCGGGAAUCCGGAUAGAGUAAAGAAGGCAUGUUUAUGUAAUAGCUAGUAAUGGACAUGAUCAAAUUGUAAUGUAAAAGUACAGUAUAGUUAUGUAAUGAGGUUUAUGGAUGUUAGUGUGUGCUUGACCAUAGAAUGUUGUAUCCCUUUUUAUACAUGAUCUUGGUUAUUUUAUGUCACUGAUGUAAACCAACUCAACAGAUGUUAUGUUUUCCCAUUGGGGGCACAGAUGAGAUCCCACAGAGGGAUCAAAGUUAUGCUUAUGUUUAUGCACAGGUUGAGUUUGGUUGAUGUUC
Molecule: long non-coding RNA, 884 nt
Filed under: Manihot esculenta (cassava)
Lineage: Eukaryota; Viridiplantae; Streptophyta; Magnoliopsida; Malpighiales; Euphorbiaceae
Description: long non-coding RNA (MESC_LNC001807)
Source: RNAcentral